GCGGGACUACAAUUUCAGCUCCGCCGUCGAAAUCUGCGCCGCUUUUCAUUCACGGCGGUGCUGCCACUAUGCUGGGUUUCCACCACCAGAUUCCGGGCAACAGUUUUGGGCAAGACCCAGAUGAGAAUUUCAUGAAGAAGAGGUAUAGAGAAGAUACAACUGCAGCAUCAACUUCACCAUCGUCAUCAUCAGCUAAACCGGAAAGAACCGGAGUUCAAGG
This 220-nucleotide unclassified non-coding RNA is filed under the name Hevea brasiliensis (rubber tree). The record is from RNAcentral. Lineage: Eukaryota; Viridiplantae; Streptophyta; Magnoliopsida; Malpighiales; Euphorbiaceae.